ACUUAUGAACAUAGCAUCCAAGUGUUUUCUCAUGAUUGAUAUCCCCCCCAACAAUGUAUGAUCUUGACACUUAGUGCAAUUACAAGUGCAACUUGCCAAAAACAACAAGCUAGACUUGAUUUAAGUGCACGCAGAUGCCAAAUUUGACCACUGAGUCAAAGAACAAUUUUUAGAUAGAACGAGACCAUUCUAAUCAUGCCAUUGUAAAGUAUAAGAACAAUUACGCACUUCUCUAAAAAAAAGCACCCAAAAAUGUUUUCGUAGGAGCAAAAAGAAAGCCUUGGAAGUUCCCAAAACGAGAAUUAUUCAGCAACACCUACGAGAAUUUGCAAUUUCCAAAACUAUAAACCAAAAGAAAAAACCUACUACACUACUGUGAAGAGCACAAAUUCUGCGUCAAAUAAAAAAAUCUCCCCAGAAAAAGGAGGUUGGAUGAUUGAGUUAUGGCCGUUUGAAGAUUGACUUCCAAAAAGAAAACUCCAAUAGAGGGGAGGGGGCAAAUUUGAGAUGGGCCAUUGACAUUAACUGAUGGAAUACUCCCUCCCCCAAUGGAAUAUGUUCUCAGAAUAUUCCUUUGAUUGGACAAAAUAUGCUUUCCAAGGCUAAAAUAUUCCUUUGAUUGUCAACAAAAUCUUAGUGGAAUCUUUCAAAAAUAUUCUUUGACGGAUUCUUUUGUUGUUCAGAGUUGGAAAGUUUUGGCAGCAAGAAUUUGGUAUAUACUCCAAUGGAACAUUUUUUGCUGACGUCUAGGUUCUAUGAUAGCAGGACUAGGUGAUGGAUGGUCAGCCACAUGUGCGCUUGUUAGUAGGUCUGGUAUCUAUGUUUGUAGGCAUACUUUGCAUAGGCAAGCUAUGGUAUAUAACUUUGAAAAAACUUUAUUAAAAGAAAAUAGAAUUAAAUAUUAUUUUUGUCUUAUCAUACUUGCAUUGGUGCUAGUGGUUGAAUAAGUGCAGACAAUAAUAAUGACAGCCAUACAAUCAUAUGAUAGAGGGAAAUCGAUUUUUUCUGAGGAUCUAGGGAAAAGUGCUCCAAACUUCACGAAUCAACAAUUGAUCUUAGGGUUCUUGGGCCUUCUAAAUGUAAUGUUAGGGUCUGUUUUGAACCAAGAUUCUCGAAAAUUGUAGCUGCCUUUUAGAUCUAGCAACCAUCUUUCAACUUCAAACCCUUGUAGAUUCGCCUCACAUGUUUAAUUUGGACAAAACAAACUUUCUUGGACAUCCUGAACUCAAUAGUGAGCUUAAAUUUGCACCAACAAGCUCCAAGAUGAAUUUGCAAUACAAAGCCACAAAGAGAAACCCCCAAAUUCCCAUAUUUUUAUCAAUUUUAUCUAAUUCUUUGGAUCAUCAUUCAAUGCAAGAUAAGUGCAUACUCAACUUUUCAAGAUCCAAAAAGUUUUGCAACCUAGACCUCUUUUUUUUUUCUUGUUAAUGGGCCAAAUGCCAAAUUGCUUUUGAUUGGAGCUAUGAACCAGUGAGACCACAUUUAUGAGGGGCCUCCUCAUGUUUGUUUGGCAAUACCACCCUUAUAUCUCCUUGUGCCAUCUUGUCUUCCACGCCUAGGCAUCACCUUAUCUCUCCUUUACCUGUGUGUGGGGCACAUGGGCCUCGAGCAGACUCAAACCCAAGACCUCCCUCCCAUGUAGGAGGUUCGCAGCUAACCACUGCGUUGUGGGGCCAUCCCCUUGCAACCUAGACCUCUUACCAAAGACUAACAAUAAGCAAUUCCGUAGAGCUCUAAUGCCAUGUAGAGUUGGUAUAGAAUGUUCUAUAUCAUGCAAGAUUUGGCUGAAGAUUAUAGCUCAAGAUCUUAAAACUUCUAUGAAAGUAGAAAAAAGAUUAGAAUGAGUGAACGAGGCUAUUCUAUCAACAUAUGCAAAAUUACAAUGACUGCUAACUUACAAUGCAUUAAUUAGAUUACAAAGGGAAUUGCUUGGUUAUAUAGACCAAGGUGAGACAUAGGGACUGCAUAAGAAAAUGACGUGUCUUAAUUUUAUGACUUGAGACAAAGUGUUAACUAUUUUGUGUGUCCUAAAUAAGCUUAAUUGACAAGUGUGAAUAGGGCCUAGGUUAUGAACUAGCUAGAUAAAACACCCUUUUCACACCAACAAUCUAUAUUUUUGUUUAUUUUUGGGUGAAAAUUUCAUGGGAAGAAUUUAAAUCUUGACAAUUGACUUGUACACAUUUCCCCGAAGCAUUACCUAUUCAUUCUAAAGCUCUGUUACUUCAAAACUCAGGAGGAAGACUAUGGCUUAACCCAUAUUUCCAUUGUUGAUUGAGGCAUAACUCCUCAAGAAAAAAACAAUUUUCAUGCAGAAAGGAAAACUGAUUUUUCUUGAACUUAAGGGGCUAGAAGGAGAGCAACUUUCCUCAAAGCAUUUGAGCUAAACUUCCACAGACCUUUACCUUUGUAAGCCAUAGAUUUUCAGCCCAUGCUAGAAUGUCUUGCUUUGAGAUUCUAACACCUCUGCAAUCUCAAGUGUUCCCACCUUUAAAAGCUCCCAAAGGCUGUCAACAUCUGCAACUUUUAAAUCUACCAUUGGUCAUUGAUUCGAUACCACAUGCAUUCAGUGAUUUUGAAAAGCAUUGUUGCUUAUAAAAAACUGCUGAUUGGAGUCAUAUUCAUUGCUAAUGCUUUAGAAUGUCCAUUUAGAUGUCUGCCUGCUCAAUUUUUUUUGAAAAACUCUGGUGCCUCAUUCCAGCGCACCAUUUUAUUCCCAUCCUUCAAUAUCUUGUUUUACAUCCCACAUAUAUAUAUAUAUAUAUAUAUAUUUCCUUGAUUGUUUGUAAGUUUAGUAUUGCAAUCCAACUAUUUGAAGAAUACUGAAAUGAAAACCACAAAGGAAUACUUUGCCAUGCCAUGUGUGCACUUGAAAUUCUGCACUCUAAAUGCUGUAUGAAAUGGCAUUUGUUAAGCCUCAUAGCACAAUGAUUCUACAGUUGGGAUUGGCUUAACCUUAUCUUUUUUCUCAUUAACUUUAUUAGAUUUCCCUCUCAACAUAUUUAAGUUCCUGUAAAACAACCUGCCACUCUAUUUCAUUAAAAGGCCUUCACAAAUCUCAUGUAAAAGUUUUUCUAAUCAAACUUGCAUUAAUCAUUAAUUCCAGUUGAAAUGUAGUCACUACUUCCUAUUAUCACUGUCUAUGUUACCUUGGUGAUGAUUACUAUGAUAGUUGGACACAGUUAUAGUGCAAGGCAGUUAUUGGAAAGCAUUGCCGCUGUUCCACUUUCUAUAAUAAUUUAUGUUUCUUCUUCUGUCAUGGUAUGUAAUCCCAUUCACACAAUCCCAUUCACACACUAAUAUCUGUCAUAAACGUAAAUGUUUUCUUAUGCAUAUAUACUAAGCAUUUUCAUUUGUUCAUUGUUAUUUUCCUAUCCAUCCUUGCUGACUACAAUUUUUAUUUUCCUGCAGUUUUACUUCCUAUGGCACUGCGUGCUUCUCCUUUGUCAUGGUAUCCAGUGGACUUGGGCUACCUUGUGAUAAUUGUUGAGCUAACCGAGUAAGCAAUGUACAUAAACUGAAAGCACGAGAAUCCAAUUGUUCAGCUCAAAGCACGAUGGAUGAACUUUCAGUACAAUCUAUUCCGACAAAAUUACUUUGAGAUAAAUGUAAAAUUCUAACCCAUGUAUUUCGGUCUGGGUUGAGUACAAUAUGCUCCAAUAUCUGUCAGAAGACUUCCCAUGCCCCUGCUAAAAGAAACAAGAGUUGUACUGGCAGAUGCCAUGUUUAAAGGGCAUUUAUGGGGGUAUCAUACAGCAAUAAAAUCUUAACGGUGUUGUUAUUAAUGUAACUAAAGGUAACCAUCAAACGUUGUUUCUAUGAAGCACAUGAUUUUUAUUACAGGAAACACAUUAGGAGUAGGUUCACUAUCGUUUUCAUGAAUGACUAUAAAUUUCUGCAAGGCAUUUAGCUUGGGCGAA
Cryptomeria japonica (Japanese cedar) is the source of this 3917-nucleotide long non-coding RNA. RefSeq lists it as uncharacterized. The transcript is spliced from 2 exons. NCBI's taxonomy places the organism in Eukaryota, Viridiplantae, Streptophyta, Pinopsida, Cupressales, Cupressaceae. The record is from RefSeq and is a predicted model, not a curated record.